GUCAGGGUGGCCGAGCGGUCUAAGGCGCUGCGUUCAGGUCCAGUCUCCUCCUGGAGGCGUGGGUUCGAAUCCCACCCCUGACA
Molecule: non-coding RNA, 83 nt
Organism: Chelonoidis abingdonii (Abingdon island giant tortoise)
Lineage: Eukaryota; Metazoa; Chordata; Testudines; Testudinidae
Source: the annotation of a RefSeq genome assembly